Molecule: ribosomal RNA, 509 nt
Filed under: Salmonella enterica
Lineage: Bacteria; Pseudomonadati; Pseudomonadota; Gammaproteobacteria; Enterobacterales; Enterobacteriaceae
Description: partial 23S ribosomal RNA
Rfam family: Bacterial large subunit ribosomal RNA
Source: RNAcentral
GUGGGUAGUUUGACUGGGGCGGUCUCCUCCUAAAGAGUAACGGAGGAGCACGAAGGUUGGCUAAUCCUGGUCGGACAUCAGGAGGUUAGUGCAAUGGCAUAAGCCAGCUUGACUGCGAGCGUGACGGCGCGAGCAGGUGCGAAAGCAGGUCAUAGUGAUCCGGUGGUUCUGAAUGGAAGGGCCAUCGCUCAACGGAUAAAAGGUACUCCGGGGAUAACAGGCUGAUACCGCCCAAGAGUUCAUAUCGACGGCGGUGUUUGGCACCUCGAUGUCGGCUCAUCACAUCCUGGGGCUGAAGUAGGUCCCAAGGGUAUGGCUGUUCGCCAUUUAAAGUGGUACGCGAGCUGGGUUUAGAACGUCGUGAGACAGUUCGGUCCCUAUCUGCCGUGGGCGCUGGAGAACUGAGGGGGGCUGCUCCUAGUACGAGAGGACCGGAGUGGACGCAUCACUGGUGUUCGGGUUGUCAUGCCAAUGGCACUGCCCGGUAGCUAAAUGCGGAAGAGAUAAGU